CCAAGGAGUCUAACAUGUGCGCGAGUCAUGGGGUUUUUUGUUUACGAAACCCAAAGGCAUGAAUGAAAGUGAAGGCAGCCUCGGGUUUUGCCUAGGUAGGAUCCCGUUCCCCUCUGCGGGAAUCGGGCGCACUACCGGCCCGUCUCGUUCGCAUUGCGUCGAAGAGGCGGAGCUAGAGCGUACACGUUGGGACCCGAAAGAUGGUGAACUAUGCCUGAGUAGGACGAAGCCAGAGGAAACUCUGGUGGAGGUCCGUAGCGAUUCUGACGUGCAAAUCGAUCGUCAAACUUGGGUAUAGGGGCGAAAGACUAAUCGAACCAUCUA
Molecule: ribosomal RNA, 324 nt
Filed under: Lima lima
Lineage: Eukaryota; Metazoa; Mollusca; Bivalvia; Limoida; Limidae
Description: eukaryotic LSU rRNA
Rfam family: Eukaryotic large subunit ribosomal RNA
Source: RNAcentral